CCUACUAUCUCCAUCUGCCACUACAUGUCUAGUCGAACGAACUUCCGUUAAUUGAUUAUGACGUGCUUGCACUGAAUGAGAUUUUAACACGAAGUGAGUGGCGGACGGGUGAGUAACACGUGGGUAACCUGCCCAGAAGCAGGGGAUAACACCUGGAAACAGAUGCUAAUACCGUAUAACAGAGAAAACCGCCUGGUUUUCUUUUAAAAGAUGGCUCUGCUAUCACUUCUGGAUGGACCCGCGGCGCAUUAGCUAGUUGGUGAGGUAACGGCUCACCAAGGCGAUGAUGCGUAGCCGACCUGAGAGGGUAAUCGGCCACAUUGGGACUGAGACACGGCCCAGACUCCUACGGGAGGCAGCAGUAGGGAAUCUUCCACAAUGGACGCAAGUCUGAUGGAGCAACGCCGCGUGAGUGAAGAAGGGUUUCGGCUCGUAAAGCUCUGUUGUUAAAGAAGAACGUGGGUGAGAGUAACUGUUCACCCAGUGACGGUAUUUAACCAGAAAGCCACGGCUAACUACGUGCCAGCAGCCGCGGUAAUACGUAGGUGGCAAGCGUUAUCCGGAUUUAUUGGGCGUAAAGCGAGCGCAGGCGGUCUUUUAAGUCUAAUGUGAAAGCCUUCGGCUCAACCGAAGAAGUGCAUUGGAAACUGGGAGACUUGAGUGCAGAAGAGGACAGUGGAACUCCAUGUGUAGCGGUGAAAUGCGUAGAUAUAU
RNAcentral lists this ribosomal RNA (714 nucleotides) under Pediococcus acidilactici. RNAcentral's name for it is "bacterial SSU rRNA". It matches the Rfam family "Bacterial small subunit ribosomal RNA", at positions 63 to 699 of the family's 1533-position model. The record is from RNAcentral. Lineage: Bacteria; Bacillati; Bacillota; Bacilli; Lactobacillales; Lactobacillaceae.